This is a non-coding RNA of Cinara cedri, 318 nucleotides long. The record is from the annotation of a GenBank genome assembly. Lineage: Eukaryota; Metazoa; Arthropoda; Insecta; Hemiptera; Aphididae.
CAUAAUAGAAUAAAAAUCAAAAAAAAAUAAAUGUACGUUUAUUAAACAAUGCAAUUAAUUUGUUCAACGCCAACAAUAUUUUGACUUACCUACUGAAUGUUUGUUUCUAACAUUAAGAUAUUUCACCACCGGCUGACCAUUGCAAAUGAUAUUUUAAAAAAAAUAUGCUAUGAAAACUGCAACUCAACAUGUCUAUGGGUGAACUUGUCUGUGUGUAAUUAUUGGCUUUGAGGGUGUCAAUACUAUUUAAGAUUUGACUUGUUAUCUGAUUUUUAAAACUGGAAAUGCAUGUAAAUAAUCAAAUGUAUAACGUUUCAG